This 1097-nucleotide long non-coding RNA is filed under the name Sus scrofa (pig). RNAcentral describes it as "lncRNA (ENSSSCG00005002657.1)". Lineage: Eukaryota; Metazoa; Chordata; Mammalia; Artiodactyla; Suidae. The record is from RNAcentral.
GCAGGACGGUGAGGAGGAUGGAGCAGAUGGUGGUGAAAGCGGGGAAUCGUCCAAAAUGAAGUCGGUGAUGAGCCGAGCAGGGUCUAGCCCAGGACCCCAGAAGCGCUGGGCCGCUCCUAAGCUGACUGAUCCAGUCGUGAUGAAAUCUGCGGCUCAGCGGAGAUUGCCCAGGAGAACCCUCCGCAAGCAGAAGGAAGCACCCACCACACACAAAUUGAUCGAAGGCUCCCUCUGCCAGGUGCCCUCCACACGCAGAGCACGUCCCCUCUUUCCUGUGGGAUGAGCACCUGUCUGUGCACCGGCAGAUGCAGAUGGGGGCAGAGAUCUUAAGGAAGCUUCUCCCACACUGAGGGCACUGGCAAGGCCUCUCCCGGGGUGUGGUGGGUUCUGGUGGGCACUCGAGUGGAGCGUUGUUGAAGCUUUUCCCACGCUGCCCACACUCGAGGGAGCCGGGCCGGCCGGGGAGCUCUGCACAGGGAGCCGUAGGAUCGCUUCCCUCCGCGGUGCACUGAUGAGGCUUCUCCCCCGAAUCGUUGAUCUGGUGGACGGCGAGGCUGGAGCGCGGGCCGAAGCUUCUCCCACGACCCCGCCCUGGCGGGGUCUCUGCCCUAUGUGGGUCCUCAGGGGGCCGUGAGGCGGCCGUGCUCGCGGAAGCCGUUCCCACACUCACGGCCCUUGCGAGGCGUCUCUCAGGCCUCAGACCAGACGCGAACCUCGGCUGAAGGCUCCGUGGGUUCGCGACAUGUGGAAGCUUUUCCCGGUCGGGGCCUGGCUGGUGGUGAGCAGGAGAGCUCUGGGCGCGGUGUCCCCCACGGCAGGGGAGGGCGCGGGGUGCGGGCCUUCUCCCCGGAAGAAGCCUCCAUGACUCGUCCUCCAGGGGCGGGGGCUCUGGCCUCGCUCCCCUGGACAACUCGACCUGCCCAGCCUCUUCCUUGGUCAGAGCUUCCAAGACUUCACUGGACUUGCUCCCCAGAAGCUUGUUCCUUUCUGCUUCCUCUGGAUCAUCCUAUCUCAGAUUCUGGUUUUUAAUCCCAUACUUGAUCUCAAAACCUAAACGAAUAAAUAGAACUCCAUUGGCUCUGGAGAAGGAAAAAAAA